RNAcentral lists this ribosomal RNA (209 nucleotides) under Zooxanthella nutricula. RNAcentral's name for it is "Brandtodinium nutricula partial Bacterial large subunit ribosomal RNA". It matches the Rfam family "Bacterial large subunit ribosomal RNA", at positions 2214 to 2422 of the family's 2925-position model. Lineage: Eukaryota; Dinophyceae; Peridiniales. The record is from RNAcentral.
UUGAGCUUCUAACCUAGGCCCGUUAUCCGGGUCAGGGACCGUGUGUGGUGGGUAGUUUGACUGGGGCGGUCUCCUCCCAAAGCGUAACGGAGGAGCACAAAGGUGGGCUAAGCAUGGUCGGACAUCAUGCGGUUAGUGUAAUGGCACAAGCCCGCUUAACUGCGAGACAGACACGUCGAGCAGGUACGAAAGUAGGUCAUAGUGAUCCA